GACGAACGCUGGCGGCGUGCCUAAUACAUGCAAGUAGAACGCUGAAGCGAGGAGCUUGCUCUUCUUGGAUGAGUUGCGAACGGGUGAGUAACGCGUAGGUAACCUGCCUGGUAGCGGGGGAUAACUAUUGGAAACGAUAGCUAAUACCGCAUAAAAUGGAUUAUCGCAUGAUAAUCCAUUGAAAGGUGCAAGUGCAUCACUACCAUAUGGACCUGCGUUGUAUUAGCUAGUUGGUGGGGUAACGGCUCACCAAGGCGACGAUACAUAGCCGACCUGAGAGGGUGAUCGGCCACACUGGGACUGAGACACGGCCCAGACUCCUACGGGAGGCAGCAGUAGGGAAUCUUCGGCAAUGGACGGAAGUCUGACCGAGCAACGCCGCGUGAGUGAAGAAGGUUUUCGGAUCGUAAAGCUAUGUUGUAAGAGAAGAACGAGUGUGAGAGUGGAAAGUUCACACUGUGACGGUAGCUUACCAGAAAGGGACGGCUAACUACGUG
This 497-nucleotide ribosomal RNA is filed under the name uncultured bacterium. RNAcentral's name for it is "partial 16S ribosomal RNA". It matches the Rfam family "Bacterial small subunit ribosomal RNA", at positions 28 to 507 of the family's 1533-position model. The record is from RNAcentral.